UCAUGAAAAGUAUGGCAGACAUGUUUUUCUUCUUCCUAACAUUCUGUAAAAACAACGUAUAAGAAUUCAAUUUAACGUUUUGUGGAUGUAAUUUGUGCAGCAUCCAAAUGACAGGUGAACAAGAUUAAAAAAUAAAAAACAAACUCAAAAUUUUCUCUCUAAGCUUACAAUCAGCAGCAAACAGACAACGCCAAAAGCUGCGUACAUAACAAAUCAAAACUUUGCUAUUACCUACAACUAAGUGGGGUGGGGAGCCUUGUCUUCAAUAUGUACAGGGAUGAUUGGGAUUGAAUCCCACCAUUCUUUUAACCUUCUGUUUCCCUGGUCGUUUUGGAAGUGCUGCCCCAGUUUCGAUGUCAUAAUGAAACAGUAUAGUGUGAUUGCCAUGACGAUGUGCUUUAAGGGUAUCACUGCAAAGAUGACCGCCAAUAGAGUCAUUGCUGCCAUUGCCAUGUCUGCGUGCUGUAAAUAAGGAUAAGUACUUCAAUUGAUCAUGUCAGUAAGGAUUUGAAGCUUGAGUGGUGAAACAAAUAUCAGAAGAAUACAGCAACACGAGAGAAGUUGAUUAAUAAAGGUUUGCUGUAACUAACCCUUCUAACAAUCACCUACACCAGUUUUCAGCAAUGGUUUGCUUUUGAAAACUGGAAUUACAAGUAGGUAAAACAAUUAUGUACCUUACUUGCCCUUGAGCACAUUAUAGACCAGAUUUUCAGUAUUGCUAAAUUUGUGGCCUGCAUCAUCUCAUGAGCUGUUCGCAAUCCAAAUUGAGCUGCUACUAUGCUUUCCACUGUAGUGUUUUCGUCUGAGCCAGUAUACACUACUAUCUCAUUGUAUUUGUCAUGAAGCCUUCCUAGUCUUGCUUGAAGCAUCUUUGAUACUAUCCAUAAUAGGAAAGCAGCUAUAGCCUUUCCAAUCCAUUCCUUGUAGACAAUUACUAACGUUGCAACUAACAUUGUGAUGGUGAUGCCUGGUCUUUCCCAUGAAAUGACUUCUUGAAACCAAGAUACUACACUUUUCAGUGGCUGUAGCAAUUCCAUAAGAACAGUGGCACUUUCACUGAUUCCUUCCUCUUUCAACCCCUCGGCGGUAGCUUUGGCAAUUUCAACAUCCUUUGCUUCCUUUCUAGCUUGAUUAAUGGCACUCUCCAAUAAGUGAAUGCUGUCUUGAUCACUUGUACGUUCCUUGUCCGCUUCUGUAACUUCUAUGCUUGAGACUACUGGCUGCAGAGACAUGUUCAAGCUCCUUAAAACUGAGCUAGCACUACAUGGAUGUCCACUAUUAACUUUCUUCAGGCUCUCAGCUAGCUCUUCUAGUACAUAGUCUCCCUUAGGCAACUCGUCAAACAAAGCAAAGAUCAAGAACUUUGUAGGCGCUGGGGGUGAUAUUCUAAGCAUUUCUCUCGCAGCAUGGAGCCUUAUGAUCCCCAAUAUUGUUCUAGCAUGCAUUUCCCAUGAUUGUAUUGGACAUUCCACCUUAUUCUCAGAUAAGAAUUGGUUCAUUAGCAUAACUUCCUUGGUAAGUGCAAGCCAAUGAUCACGUCUAGUGGAGCUAGUCAUCUCUGGAAACUCCAACACAAUUCCUUCAGAUCUAGAAAAAAAUGCAAUAAUAGUAAAACUAAGGUGCAUAUGCAAGAUAACCUAUCCUCGGAUUAAUAUUGCAUACAUCAUAUCAGCUCACAGGCACACUUUUAACAACAACAAAAUUGAUCCAUUAAAAAUAAGUAUAAUGAUCCAGAAAAUCAAUAGUAAAUUAACUUUUAAGCACAUGAUGCAUUAUUCAACAUGAUAAAAAUGUCGACGACUUUGCUUAUGCGAAUUGAUUCUUACAGUUCAGGAGACUCGUAGAUUAUGGCCUUAUCAAAAAGUGGAGCACCCCAUGGACCAGUAGCAGUUGGCUUCACAGUGUGUUCAAUAUCUUUUGAAAGGUCAAUUUUAAGGGCAUCAUCAUAUGUUAUUGCUCCCGAAGCCUCAAAGUAUAGAGCAUAAUUGGUUAGUGUAAGCCUACCUAGAAAAUUUUAAAAAAAUAUAUAAAAUAGACUAAAAUAAGAACCACCAAAUCAUGCCUUCAGAAAUUGUAAGUGCAGUAAGAAACAGAUCAAUUACCAGGCCAACUUGUUCCUCCAAUAUGGCGAACUAUUCUCUGUGAGCUUGCAGUCCCCUCAACAUGCAAAAUAAACUCAUCAUCUGCAAGCUCCACACCCUUUGGCUUUGUUUGCUUUUGCAAAUGCUUUAUGCAUUUGGCAAUUUCUUUCAAGAAUUUGUCAUAGGCAGGGAAGAAAAGGCGGUUGCCUGUAGGUGCUGUAAGAGUUUCAAAUGUGAAUCUUCCAUUAACAACAUCUGUAGCAAAUGGAACCAAUGCAGCCAACCACACAAAUGCAUCUUCUCCAACACUUGGCUCAUCAUUAACAAGAAGCGGCAUAACAUCUGAAUAGAAAAGAGGGAUCUCGUCUUCUUCUUGCGCGACUUUUGGCGGUAUCUUCCCGUCUUCUCUCGCCUUUCCCUCACACUCCAUACGGGACUCUUCAUCCCUAGAGCUGGGCAUCUCCCAUGCAAGCAUUGUAUCGAACGUGAAUCGGCUAAAUGACCCAUCAGUAAUCUUUUCCUCUAUAUACUUACAUUCUUCGUGAAGUGCCUUUGAGGCACAAAAUUCCACGAAUUUCCUCGAGUACCCACUGGUUUCACUCUCAGGCUUCGACUUCCACCCUGCUUCAAACUCCUCCACCAAUUUAUCCACACUAGUAUUUAACUUUAGGGCAGAAUUGCGGAUGACGUCUAUGGCAAUGGAAGAGAGAUGCUUCAUGUUGUUUGAGAUGGGAACUUCACAUGGGGA
RNAcentral lists this unclassified non-coding RNA (2829 nucleotides) under Hevea brasiliensis (rubber tree). The record is from RNAcentral. Lineage: Eukaryota; Viridiplantae; Streptophyta; Magnoliopsida; Malpighiales; Euphorbiaceae.